This 150-nucleotide small nucleolar RNA is filed under the name Drosophila ananassae. Its description in RNAcentral is "snoRNA:GF26181". Lineage: Eukaryota; Metazoa; Arthropoda; Insecta; Diptera; Drosophilidae. The record is from RNAcentral.
CACAGCGCUGACAAAUUGACAGGCUUGACUUCCAACACCUGGGCAGUUUUUCCUCGGAACGCUGUGAGAUGAAUCCUAGCGUCGGCUAAGCUAUGUUAUGCGAAUGUAGAUCUGUUCCAAUUCAGUGUAACACGCAGCCUCGUUACAAUA